UACGGGGGGGGCAAGCGUUGUUCGGAAUUACUGGGCGUAAAGGGCUCGUAGGUGGCCAACUAAGUCAGACGUGAAAUCCCCAGGCUUAACCUGGGAACUGCGUCUGAUACUGGAUGGCUUGAAUCCGGGAGAGGGAUGCAGAAUUCCAGGUGUAGCGGUGAAAUGCGUAGAUAUCGGGAGGAACACCAGUGGCGAAGGCGACUACCUGGCCUGUUUCUUGACGCUGAGGCGCGAAAGCUAGGGGAGCAAACGGG
RNAcentral lists this ribosomal RNA (254 nucleotides) under uncultured bacterium. RNAcentral's name for it is "partial 16S ribosomal RNA". It matches the Rfam family "Bacterial small subunit ribosomal RNA", at positions 524 to 776 of the family's 1533-position model. The record is from RNAcentral.